AGUGAACGCUGGCGGUAGGCCUAACACAUGCAAGUCGAACGGCAGCACAGUAAGAGCUUGCUCUUACGGGUGGCGAGUGGCGGACGGGUGAGGAAUACAUCGGAAUCUACUUUUUCGUGGGGGAUAACGUAGGGAAACUUACGCUAAUACCGCAUACGACCUACGGGUGAAAGCAGGGGAUCUUCGGACCUUGCGCGAUUGAAUGAGCCGAUGUCGGAUUAGCUAGUUGGCGGGGUAAAGGCCCACCAAGGCGACGAUCCGUAGCUGGUCUGAGAGGAUGGUCAGCCACACUGGAACUGGGACACGGUCCAGACUCCUACGGGAGGCAGCAGUGGGGAAUAUUGGACAAUGGGCGCAAGCCUGAUCCAGCCAUACCGCGUGGGUGAAGAAGGCCUUCGGGUUGUAAAGCCCUUUUGUUGGGAAAGAAAAGCAGCAGGUUAAUACCCCGCUGUUCUGACGGUACCCAAAGAAUAAGCACCGGCUAACUUCGUG
RNAcentral lists this ribosomal RNA (492 nucleotides) under uncultured bacterium. RNAcentral describes it as "partial 16S ribosomal RNA". It matches the Rfam family "Bacterial small subunit ribosomal RNA", at positions 29 to 507 of the family's 1533-position model. The record is from RNAcentral.